This 69-nucleotide transfer RNA is filed under the name Larimichthys crocea (large yellow croaker). RNAcentral's name for it is "tRNA-Arg". It matches the Rfam family "tRNA". Rfam says of the family: Transfer RNA (tRNA) molecules are approximately 80 nucleotides in length. Their secondary structure includes four short double-helical elements and three loops (D, anti-codon, and T loops). Lineage: Eukaryota; Metazoa; Chordata; Actinopteri; Sciaenidae. The record is from RNAcentral.
AGGCGAUUGGUUUAAGAAAAACAUUUGAUUUCGGCUCAAACGCUCGUGGUUAAAGUCCACCUCCGCCUA